UGGGGGAUAUUGCACAAUGGGGGGAACCCUGAUGCAGCGACGCCGCGUGGGUGAAGAAGUAUUUCGGUAUGUAAAGCUCUAUCAGCAGGGAAGAAAAUGACGGUACCUGACUAAGAAGCCCCGGCUAACUACGUGCCAGCAGCCGCGGUAAUACGUAGGGGGCAAGCGUUAUCCGGAUUUACUGGGUGUAAAGGGAGCGUAGACGGUGAUGCAAGUCAGAAGUGAAAGCCCGGGGCUCAACUCCGGGACUGCUUUUGAAACUGUGUAACUGGAGUGCAGGAGAGGUAAGCGGAAUUCCUAGUGUAGCGGUGAAUUGCGUAGAUAUUAGGAGGAACACCAGUGGCGAAGGCGGCUUACUGGACUGUAACUGACGUUGAGGCUCGAAAGCGUGGGGAGCAAACAGG
RNAcentral lists this ribosomal RNA (404 nucleotides) under uncultured bacterium. Its description in RNAcentral is "bacterial SSU rRNA". It matches the Rfam family "Bacterial small subunit ribosomal RNA", at positions 355 to 776 of the family's 1533-position model. The record is from RNAcentral.